UUCCAGCUCCAAUAGCAUAUACUAAUGUUGUUGCGGUUAAAAAGCUCGUAGUCAGAGUUGUGUCCCACGCUGCCGGUCCACAGACUGUCUGUGCAGACUGCGCACGUCGCUGGGACGUCAUGGCCGGGAGCGGCUACGUCCUAGGCGAUUAUUCCCUCCUGCUACGUGGUUCUUCGGAGAUACGGAUCGGUCAUUCGGAAGGCAGGUUUACCUGUUUCUUCCGGUGUCCUUUCACGCCUCCGUCCCGCGUUGGGAGGGUUUCGUCUAGGCGGGCCGCAAAAUUCAUAGGUCCCGACCUGGUGCUCUUAACCGAGUGCCGAGGAGGGCCGGCACUCUUACUUUGAACAAACUCGAGUGCUCAAAGCUGGCCUUCUGGCCCAGACGCUGUGUGCAUGGAAUAACGGAAUAGGAUUUCGGUUCUGUUUCGAUUGGUUUCACAGCUCCGAAGUAAUGAUCAAAAGGAGCAGGCGGGGGCAUUCGUACUGCGACGUUAGAGGUGAAAUUCUUAGAUCGUCGCAAGACGGACAAAAGCGAAAGCAUUUGCCAAGGAUGUUUUCACUGAUCAAGAGCGAAAGUUGGAGGAUCGAAGGCGAUCAGAUACCGCCCUAGUUCUAACUAUAAAUGAUGCCAGCCAGCUAUGCACCGCAGUCGCCUUUGACUCGGAGCGAAGCUUCCGGGAAACCAGAGCUUUCAGGUUCCGGGGGAAGUAUGGUUGCAAAGCUGAAACUUAAAGGAAUUGACGGAAGGGCACCACCAGGAGUGGAGCUUGCGGCUUAAUUUGACUCAACACGGCAAAAUUUACCAGGGCAGGACAUACGUAGGAUUGACAGAUUGAAGAUCUUUCUUGAUUGUGUGGGUGGUGGUGCAUGGCCGUUCUUAGUUCGUGGACUGGUCCGUCUGCUUGAUUGCGGUAACGAACGAGACUCUAACCUGCUAAAUAGUCCAUAUAGAGAUCCCUUCGGGGCUAUCUGAGAGAAACCCUUCUUAGAGGGAACAGCGGCCUCGAGUCGCAUGAUAUAGAGCAAUAACAGGUCUGGCAUGCCCUUAGAUGUCCUGGGCCGCACGCGUGCUACAAUGAAAAAAGCAGCGUGAACAAUCCUAGGCCGAGAGGUCCGGGUAAUCAGAUAAAACUUUUUCAUGCAGGGGAUAGGGGCUUGCAAUUGACCCCUUGAACAAGGAAUUCCCAGUAGGCGUGAGUUAGGAGCUCGCGUCGAUUGAGUCCCUGCCCUUUGUCCACACCGCCCGUCGCUACUUCCGAUCGAAUGGGGUAGUGAGGUCUCCGGACCGAUGCUACAGGUUCAAAAGACCUUAGCUUUGGGAGGCUGACCAAACUUGCUCGUUUAGAGGAAGUAAAAGUCGUAACAAGGUUUCCGUAGGUG
This 1379-nucleotide ribosomal RNA is filed under the name Spiralizoros cervicornis. RNAcentral's name for it is "SSU rRNA". It matches the Rfam family "Eukaryotic small subunit ribosomal RNA", at positions 583 to 1811 of the family's 1831-position model. The record is from RNAcentral. Lineage: Eukaryota; Metazoa; Arthropoda; Insecta; Zoraptera; Spiralizoridae.